UCUCUGCAUACCUGAGGCCUUCUGAAGGACUGAGGCCAAGAGGGUUUAUUUCCAAAAAUGUCCUCCAGCCCUGCUGUUGCCUUUGGCAGUUGGUUCCCUGAGCUGUGGUGCUGGCUGCUGACUGAAAGCAAGGCGCUGAGAGCCAUGUUGACCUGCCCUGGGGCUCACGUCGGACCUGGCCAAAAAGUGUCCCCUCCUCUGCACAGCAGGACACUUUGUCCGAAACACCAAGAACUCAGAGAACAAUCAUCUGGGGCCGGGAUGUUUUUCUUUCUAAGCGGACUGUCUAUGCUAAUGGCUUGUGACUUGUCAACAGGAACCAAAUUCCCAUGGUGUCUGGAGGCAGAAACCAUGGCAUUUUGGCACAUUUCACCACGCUCAAAUCAAUCACCUCUGAAAACAGUUCCGUGAGAGAGAUUGGUUGGAUGAGAUAGAUGGAAAACCAGAAUUUAUUCCCCAUUUCCUUUCUCCACCAGCCACAGUGUACAUAACUGCAGCACUUGUAUAAAUUGUUUAGGGAAGAGGCUCACACUCCUCUGUACACAGGGCUUUGGGUCUCAGUUCUGGUGGACCGGUAGUAAGGCUCCUUUUAUGCCAUGUAUUUAUGAUGGGUGUCUUGAGACUUCUUUAUGACUUGGAAACAUUUAUGGUGGAAGAACAGAUGCCGGCCUCUAUUGCUUUUCAUCAUCUAUUUUAUUUUUUAAAAACAGCAUGCAAUAUAAUUAAAUAUAAUAUGAAUAUGACAACAUUUAGAAUCUUCUGCUAGAAACACAUGCAAUAACAUAAUAGUAGAGUGAUACAGUGGUGGAAUAUACUCACUAAGAGAAUAAUGUGUUUUGGCGUGUUUUCAUCAGAUAAUAUUUCCCUAACAAUUUGGUUCAGAUUAUAGCCAAUCUGAUUUGUAAACCAAGAGGCGGUCAGAUGGAGACUGCACUUUUUGCAUCAGAUAAUGUGUACACAAAUGUUUCAUUAUUCCAUCUGCUCUUGUUAACGUUGACAACAGUCACCAUCAAUAAAGCAAUACUUGCUGGCCGUUA
Long non-coding RNA from Numida meleagris (helmeted guineafowl), 1037 nucleotides. RefSeq lists it as uncharacterized. NCBI's taxonomy places the organism in Eukaryota, Metazoa, Chordata, Aves, Galliformes, Numididae. The record is from RefSeq and is a predicted model, not a curated record. The transcript has 3 exons.